RNAcentral lists this ribosomal RNA (498 nucleotides) under uncultured bacterium. RNAcentral's name for it is "partial 16S ribosomal RNA". It matches the Rfam family "Bacterial small subunit ribosomal RNA", at positions 30 to 523 of the family's 1533-position model. The record is from RNAcentral.
AUUGAACGCUGGCGGAAUGCUUUACACAUGCAAGUCGAGCGGCAGCGCGGGGCAACCUGGCGGCGAGCGGCGAACGGGUGAGUAAUACAUCGGAACGUGCCCAGACGUGGGGGAUAACUACUCGAAAGAGUGGCUAAUACCGCAUACGAUCUGAGGAUGAAAGCGGGGGAUCGCAAGACCUCGCGCGUCUGGAGCGGCCGAUGGCAGAUUAGGUAGUUGGUGAGGUAAAGGCUUACCAAGCCUGCGAUCUGUAGCUGGUCUGAGAGGAUGAUCAGCCACACUGGGACUGAGACACGGCCCAGACUCCUACGGGAGGCAGCAGUGGGGAAUUUUGGACAAUGGGCGAAAGCCUGAUCCAGCCAUUCCGCGUGCAGGAUGAAGGCCCUCGGGUUGUAAACUGCUUUUGUACGGAACGAAAAAGCUCUGGCUAAUACCUGGAGUCCAUGACGGUACCGUAAGAAUAAGCACCGGCUAACUACGUGCCAGCCGCCGCAGUAA